UGGGGGAUAUUGCGCAAUGGGGGCAACCCUGACGCAGCAACGCCGCGUGAAGGAUGAAGGUUUUCGGAUUGUAAACUUCUUUUAUUAAGGACGAAAAUUGACGGUACUUAAUGAAUAAGCUCCGGCUAACUACGUGCCAGCAGCCGCGGUAAUACGUAGGGAGCAAGCGUUGUCCGGAUUUACUGGGUGUAAAGGGUGCGUAGGCGGCUUUGCAAGUCAGAUGUGAAAUCCAUGGGCUCAACCCAUGAACUGCUUUCAAAACUGUUUUUCUUGAGUAGUGCAGAGGUAGGCGGAAUUCCCGGUGUAGCGGUGGAAUGCGUAGAUAUCGGGAGGAACACCAGUGGCGAAGGCGGCCUACUGGGCACCAACUGACGCUGAGGCUCGAAAGUGUGGGUAGCAAACAGGAUUAGAUACCCUGGUAGUCCACACUGUAAACGAUGAUUACUAGGUGUUGGAGGAUUGACCCCUUCAGUGCCGCAGUUAACACAAUAAGUAAUCCACCUGGGGAGUACGACCGCAAGGUUGAAACUCAAAGGAAUUGACGGGGGCCCGCACAAGCAGUGGAGUAUGUGGUUUAAUUCGACGCAACGCGAAGAACCUUACCAGGCCUUGACAUCCCGAUGACCGGUCUAGAGAUAGACCUUCUCUUCGGAGCAUCGGAGACAGGUGGUGCAUGGUUGUCGUCAGCUCGUGUCGUGAGAUGUUGGGUUAAGUCCCGCAACGAGCGCAACCCUUACGGUUAGUUGAUACGCAAGAUCACUCUAGCCGGACUGCCGUUGACAAAACGGAGGAAGGUGGGGACGACGUCAAAUCAUCAUGCCCCUUAUGGCCUGGGCUACACACGUACUACAAUGGCAGUCAUACAGAGGGAAGCAAAAUCGCGAGGUGGAGCAAAUCCCUAAAAGCUGUCCCAGUUCAGAUUGGAGUCUGCAACCCGACUCCACGAAGCUGGAUUCGCUAGUAAUCGCGCAUCAGCCACGGCGCGGUGAAUACGUUCCC
This 999-nucleotide ribosomal RNA is filed under the name uncultured bacterium. RNAcentral's name for it is "bacterial SSU rRNA". It matches the Rfam family "Bacterial small subunit ribosomal RNA", at positions 355 to 1375 of the family's 1533-position model. The record is from RNAcentral.